AUUCAGUGUGCACUAUGUUCUGGCACUGAGGGUCCAGUGGUGAAGGAAACCCCUGAAUUGACUUUUUAGUGGGAGGAGAGAGAUACUAAGAAAACUAAAAAGUGAGACAAUAUGGAGGUAGUGAUAAACUUGAGGAAGGAAAUAAGGCAGCGUGAGGUGAUAGUGGUUGGAAAAGCUCUUCUUGAAGAGAUGGCAUUGAGCAAAGAUCUGCAGGUAGAAAGCAGCAGGGAUGUGCAGAGGCAUCGAGGCAGGCAUAAUAAACCCAGGAUGUCUAAGGACAUUGAAGAGAGCAGUGUGGCUGGAGCCCAGAGAGUGCGUGGUCUACUUGAGGAUGGAGUGAUGGACAAGGGCCGGUUGCCGAGGGCCUUGUAGGUCACAGCUUUGGAUUUUAUCCCAAGGGAGGGGAAAUCCAUUAAUCCAUUGAAGGCAUUAAUAAGAGGGGAAUGUCAUUCUUUGUAUCCAAGGCACUGAGCACGAAAGACACACUAACUAUUGAAUAUAGACUACAACAUGCUCCUGACCAACCAGCCAACAUGAGCAAUUCUAGAUUGUUUUCUUUUUAUAUUUAUUUAUUUAUCUUUUUUUUUAGUUAUCGGUGGACACCACAUCUUUGUUUGUAUGUGGUGCUGAGGAUCGAACCUGGGCCGCACGCAUGCCAGGCGAGCGCGCUACCGCUUGAGCCACAUCCCCAGCCCCUCUAGAUUGUUU
RNAcentral lists this long non-coding RNA (708 nucleotides) under Marmota monax (woodchuck). Lineage: Eukaryota; Metazoa; Chordata; Mammalia; Rodentia; Sciuridae. The record is from RNAcentral.